AAAGUGAAUAGUGAAAUCUGGGGGCUCAACCUCCAGGCUAUUAUUCAAACUCACAGACUCGAGAAUGGUAGAGGUAACUGGAAUUUCUUGUGUAGGAGUGAAAUCCGUAGAUAUAAGAAGGAACACCAAUGGCGUAGGCAGGUUACUAGACCAUUUCUGACACUGAGGCACGAAAGCGUGGGGAGCGAACCGGAUUAGAUACCCGGGUAGUCCACGCCGUAAACGAUGGAUACUA
RNAcentral lists this ribosomal RNA (235 nucleotides) under uncultured Candidatus Saccharibacteria bacterium. RNAcentral describes it as "partial 16S ribosomal RNA". It matches the Rfam family "Bacterial small subunit ribosomal RNA", at positions 584 to 818 of the family's 1533-position model. The record is from RNAcentral. Lineage: Bacteria; Candidatus Saccharimonadota.